UAGGGAAUCUUCGGCAAUGGGGGCAACCCUGACCGAGCAACGCCGCGUGAGUGAAGAAGGUUUUCGGAUCGUAAAGCUCUGUUGUAAGUCAAGAACGAGUGUGAGAGUGGAAAGUUCACACUGUGACGGUAGCUUACCAGAAAGGGACGGCUAACUACGUGCCAGCAGCCGCGGUAAUACGUAGGUCCCGAGCGUUGUCCGGAUUUAUUGGGCGUAAAGCGAGCGCAGGCGGUUUGAUAAGUCUGAAGUUAAAGGCUGUGGCUCAACCAUAGUUCGCUUUGGAAACUGUCAAACUUGAGUGCAGAAGGGGAGAGUGGAAUUCCAUGUGUAGCGGUGAAAUGCGUAGAUAUAUGGAGGAACACCGGUGGCGAAAGCGGCUCUCUGGUCUGUAACUGACGCUGAGGCUCGAAAGCGUGGGGAGCGAACAGGAUUAGAUACCCUGGUAGUCCACGCCGUAAACGAUGAGUGCUAGGUGUUGAAUCCUUUCCGGGAUUCAGUGCCGCAGCUAACGCAUUAAGCACUCCGCCUGGGGAGUACGACCGCAAGGUUG
Molecule: ribosomal RNA, 550 nt
Filed under: uncultured bacterium
Lineage: Bacteria
Description: bacterial SSU rRNA
Rfam family: Bacterial small subunit ribosomal RNA
Source: RNAcentral